UAACCAGUCCAGUUUGGUGUGUGUUCUGUAUGAGGGUGAAAUUAUGAUAGAGAGAAGAGCAAGGACGCCUGUUCUCUAAAGGAGAGCUCCUACCUCAUUACUUUGUUGCUGGGCUCUUGACCUUGGGUUGCCAGGUUAUACAUCUCCCCGACGGAAAGCUUCCUAUCCCACAUGUUGAGAUUUGCUAGCUCACCCACAUAAGCUUGUGUCGCGUCGAAACCUCCCCCCAGCGUGUCCUGUGGAGCAACAAGAUGACAAGUUCAAGUACGAGGACACCCUGCGGUUUGAUGGGAUGGUAUGGCGCCAGAUUCUCUCCACUGCCCCGCAGCACUCCGUCCUGAAACGCCUCCCACAUCCCGUCGCGCGUGGUCCAGGUGAUGCCGAUGUGAUGCCACUUCCCGUCGUUGAUGAUGAACGGCAACUUGGCCACCUGCAACAUGGACAGCGCACUAAUUACUAUAUGUUCAAAUAGGCCUGGCCUACAACUAAUGACUGCUACGGUUUUGAAUGUUUUCAGACAUAGCACUGGCUAUUAAUGCAAUAUUUGUAUAAUUAAGUUGCUUGUCACGUCUCCAUAACUUUCCCAGACAUUGCAUAAUGCUGCGUAGUUUAAUUUGCUAGUCUGGCACACCACAUGUACGCAUGGCGAUCUGUCCAUUUUGCCUAUAACCAAAUGCUGUGUAGAAUAUGCCAUUUCUGUCAGCGAUCAUUACCUUAUCAUUGAUGAGUAUCUCCAUCGGGUUAUUUCCCCACUCAAUCAGCACCAGCUCGUUGGCCUGCCCUGGGACAGCGUAGGAGAAAGGUGUGCCCACCCCAGGCGACGCGUUAGAUUUAAUCCACAUACACACGGUGAAGGCAUACAUCUCCGGCAGGGUUCUCUUGGCUUUGGCGUACAUGUAGUUGGUUCUCAACGGGAAUGUCAGCUGGAACUUGUCCAGUGGUCUGUUGUCUUUCCCACCUGCGGACGAAACAUAGGUCUACUUGUUUACCUUUCAGUGAUUUAUAUCAUUUGCAUUGCACUCAUAGGCCUGUUAUAGUCAGUUAUGUCAUAUCAUGCGAUUGAUUGAUUGGUUUAUCCGUGUACAUGGUUUGCUCCACCAGUAGAUAUUUUCGAUCCCUAAAUAAAGGUUUUCUCCUUUCUUUUUAGUUUGACGAUGCUCUGAUUUAUAUAAUUGGUUUAGAACAGACUGUGCAUCUCUCCCCUAGACUAUUCUCUGCGGUAUGAUGUGACCACGUGAGAAGGGCAAACAGGGACUCUCUCUCUCUCUCUCUCUCUCUCUCUCUCUCUCUCUCUCUCUCUCUCUCUCGCGCGCGCGCGCCAUCCCUUCCUAACCUCCAACCCCCUCAUUCUCCCAAUCCCUUUGGGGUUGUCAGUAAGGAACUAAACCUUGAUCGAUGUUCCAAAAUGCGCCUGUCUGUCUCCAACACAGUGCGCGCUUUAUCAAGCACUGCGCACAUCGUUAAAACCCUCUGGUAAAGUUCCUGCGCCGCUAUGUCCCCUACAAAACCAACGACUCUCGUUCACAGUCACUGGAAAUAAAGCGAUCAUUGGCUGUCGCUCCAUGACACGUGAAUUAUUAUCCCAGCGUGGCAUCACUGUGUUAAUAUGAUAUAUGCAAAGCAAUGCAGCUACCUCCUUCUCCCAUCUCCCCUUACGCACUGUGGUGAGAGCUGCGCUGCGGCACUGUCUGUAUUGACAAGCUACUGUGGUAUGCGGGUUUGGAGUGAAUCCUCAUGUGGGCCAGGCAAUUAACCAAGUGAAAUGCAGGGUUGUUUUUAGAAAUUGGCAUUGUUUUAGACAUAUAAACCAUUGAGCGAGCCAAUUCCACCACAUUUGGAUGAUUUUUUUUUUUUACUAUUAAAACUUUAUGCACACAUUAUUAUCAAAAUAAUGUAAACAGUUGAGUCUUUUUUAUAAUCAUUCACAUGAACAGAACUAUUAUAUUGACUGUGUACAUUUGGGCAUGAUCUCUUUGCCUCAUAGCUCACUCACCUUUCUCUAGGUCCGUUAUCCGGUGAUGCAUGGAAGUCAGCGUGGACUCUACUCGGUUCCGCUGGUCCGUAUCGUUCUUCUGACCCGGUUUGGUCUCCUCCAGGGUGUUGACCCGGGACAGCACCUGCUUCUCCAUAUCAUCAAUCUUGUUCUGAAGCAGGUCUUUCAGACUAUUCGCCUGGGCCGUACCGUUGUUUCGGCUGUAUUGCUGUAUAACGGAACAAGGACAGAGGAACAGACAAGAUGAGACGAUUAAAAUAACUCUGGGUUUAAAUAAACACUCCUACAUGUGCGAGGCGGGACUCGUCGUGGGUAAAGCUCUGGUGCUUAGCUCGUUUGUGGAGGGCUUACUGCCUCGGCAAUUUGCAUCAAAUGCAUAAAUUGGUCCAAAGAUGAGGCGUCUAUCUGUCCUUAUCAGGAGUGUGGCGCUGCUUUAUGUAGUGCUCUAGAGUAAUUACUUUGUCUGGAUGCGGAAAAAUAGCUUUAAAUAGGUCUAUAGCAAUAGUGACUGGACUGAAAUAACCCUAUAGCAAGCAAUUCACAACUAUAUAGAGCACUUAUAACUAGCACAUAGAGCACUAUUGGCUAUACAACCAACUGAGCCGAUUGGAAACGCGUAAAAAUGAUUCAAAGUUGAUUGAAAGCUCAACCUUACUAGCUCAAAAUAGGGAGAUCAAACAAACACCAAUGCAUACCUCAAGAUUCUCCAAUCUCUGUUUGAGAGUCUGUAAAGUCUGUCCUAGUUGAGCGAGAGUGUCCUGAGGACCCCUUGAUACGUCCCCCAUAGUGUUCUUGGCGCCCGGUACUAUUCUCCGGCCUCCCGCUCCCGCCUCGGGCAGACUCUGGCUCUCACACCGGCUCAACUUGGACGUUAGUUCCCUGAUUGUCUCCUUUUGGUUCAUAAUGGUCUCCUUUUGCUGUAACACGGUCUCCCUCAAUUGCAUCACUGUCGUCUUCAAGUCCUCCGCCGGACCGCUGUUCUGCAUCGUAGCCGCACACAAGUCCAUAUCCUUGGGCACAGACGUGCAAAUAAACUGGGUCUGUCCGAAAUCUUGCGUCGACCCCUCCAAAACCAAGAAAGAAAGUAGGAAAAGUUGCCAAGAGUGUCCCUCCCUGAUUCCAGGCAUGUUUCCUGGCGUGUGUGCGGUGUUGCAGCCGCUAAGUGUGUUUUCAGGCAGUUGGUUUCAACACCACGGAGCUAUCCCCUGUCUAUAGCUGUGAGGUUUCAGCUCUGCUUGUCCUAGUUUUUAUAGGCUAGCUACAGCCGGGAUGAGGGCAGCGUUGAGGCAGGUUCUCUGAAGCACAGUGGGGAGGAAGCAGGUUGUGCUGCUUAACCACGUCCAGCCUUUUAUUUAAGGUGGACCGGGGCGAUUGGAAGCAUAUUAUAUAUGUUUUACACCACUGCAUAACGUGAGUCGUGUACUAUUAUGUCCAUCAGGCAAUGCAGGACCGAGUAAGAUAAAGCACUGCCACUAAGCCUAUACUGUUUUCGGAUUGAGUUUCUUAGGCUGCUAUUAUUAUGGUCUGCAAUUCACAUUUACAAAUACAGAAGUGAGAAUAGGUGAAGAUGAACUGGUUUUACCAGCGGUAAAUAUCUUGUAGAUAUCAGUCUGCUUUACAUUCUUUACAUUCUGAAAUUGAACUGGCAUCCACCCCAACAUUUUUUUUUAUUAGAUUAAACUACAGUCGUUUCGAAGUCAUAUAUCAGUACAGUGCAUUGAAGUGAUUGAAUUUGAGCUAACUCGUGUAUUCCAAUUGGCCAAGUAUAGCCUAUGUGUCUGAAGUUCCACCUUAAAGGAAGCCACUCCCCAUGUCCCUAGAGUGAGGAUCCUGGCAGAGUCCCUCUCUCUGACUAUCCCACAGAGUAUUAUCUCUCUCGCUCUGUCUCUCUCUCUCGCUCUGUCUCUCUCUCCCACCUUCCACCAGUUGGCGUGUGUCUCAUUCAUCCUCUCUCUCACUCUCUCUCUCUCUCUCUCUCUCUCUCUCUCUCUCUCUCUGUUAUAGGAUUUUUAUGAAUAAUGACUAAAUAAUGUAUACAUUUAAUGCAGGAUUGUAACGAACAGAAUCCUACCCUGUCUGAUAAAGAAUGUUUCUACAUAGGCAAAGAGGAAGUGUUAACAGACAAAUUGUGACAGACAACUUGUGACCACUGUGAAACCAAUAACAGGAACCCCACCCAGGGCGGGGAGAAACCUUUAGGCUUGCAGUAGAUUGAGUAACAUGUGGUAGCAUAUGAUAAGCAAUAUGUAUGUGUUGGAAUGGACUUUUAAAACAGCUUUGUCAUUGUCAGAGAGGAGGAGGGACAUGUUGUACGCUACGACGCUAUGUGUGAUAUAUAAACUAAGGUACAUGUGAUUAUGAUCAGAGCUCUCGAGAAUAAACGCUAUUGAUUAAUUUGG
Salvelinus namaycush (lake trout) is the source of this 4392-nucleotide long non-coding RNA. RefSeq lists it as uncharacterized. The record is from RefSeq and is a predicted model, not a curated record. NCBI's taxonomy places the organism in Eukaryota, Metazoa, Chordata, Actinopteri, Salmoniformes, Salmonidae. The transcript is spliced from 3 exons.